This is a small nuclear RNA of Ictidomys tridecemlineatus (thirteen-lined ground squirrel), 84 nucleotides long. NCBI's taxonomy places the organism in Eukaryota, Metazoa, Chordata, Mammalia, Rodentia, Sciuridae. The record is from Ensembl.
GUGCUUGCUUCAGCCCACAUAUACUAAAAUUGGAAUGAUACAGAGAAGGAUGACACACAAAUUUGUGAAGUAUUCCAUAUUUUU